GGGGGCGACAGGUUUCGACAGGAGCGAAAGUCGCUUCUCGGAUGCAUGCCGGGCUUGCUCCAUGCAGCUCGUUAAAAAGCAUGGGGAAAAACAAAUGCCAAUACGCAAGAAUUGGCUCUCGCUGCCUAAUUAAGCGCAAGCGAGCGUCUCGCUCAUGGGUCGCUCACGCCCGUGAGAUGAGAUGUCACCCGAAGUGAGCUAGCCUAUGUCCUAACGUUCGGGGGACAUGGGCGAAAACAGAAUCCGAGCUAGUCGUCAUUGGGGUCUUCGUCGCUUCACUUACCCGAUGGCGAUGAAAUCGGUUCUUCAAAGAACCAAAGAGAAGCGGCUAAGCAUGUAGAGUCCGAAAGUGACCGCUUCUGGACCCGAGUUCGAGUCUCGGCGCCUCCACCA
This 393-nucleotide transfer-messenger RNA is filed under the name Pyrinomonas methylaliphatogenes. Its description in RNAcentral is "Standard tmRNA". It matches the Rfam family "transfer-messenger RNA". From Rfam's summary of the family: Bacterial tmRNA, also known as 10Sa RNA or SsrA, is named for its dual tRNA and mRNA-like properties. Its role is to liberate the mRNA from a stalled ribosome. Lineage: Bacteria; Pseudomonadati; Acidobacteriota; Blastocatellia; Blastocatellales; Pyrinomonadaceae. The record is from Rfam by way of RNAcentral.